RNAcentral lists this long non-coding RNA (1005 nucleotides) under Salmo trutta (river trout). Its description in RNAcentral is "lncRNA (ENSSTUG00000027942.1)". Lineage: Eukaryota; Metazoa; Chordata; Actinopteri; Salmoniformes; Salmonidae. The record is from RNAcentral.
AUGUGUGGUGUGAGUGGCAUCAGUGUUGCUCUGCUCUCUGGUCCAUAUUCCACAGUGAGAUAUUCCAGUCUCUCUCCAGCUGCUGUCUCUCUCCAGUCUCUCUCCAGUCUCUCUCCAGUCUCUCUCCAGUCUCUCUCCAGCUGCUGUCUCUCUUCAGUCUCUCUCCAGUCUCUCUCCAGUCUCUCUCCAGUCUCUCUCCAGUCUCUCUCCAGCUGCUGUCUCUCUCCAGUCUCUCUCCAGUCUCUCUCCAGUCUCUCUCCAGCUGCUGUCUCUCUUCAGUCUCUCUUCAGUCUCUCUCCAGUCUCUCUCCAGCUGCUGUCUCUCUCCAGUCUCUCUCCAGUCUCUCUCCAGUCUCUCUCCAGCUGCUGUCUCUCUUCAGUCUCUCUCCAGUCUCUCUCCAGUCUCUCUCCAGUCUCUCUCCAGCUGCUGUCUCUCUCCAGUCUCUCUCCAGUCUCUCUCCAGUCUCUCUCCAGUCUCUCUUCAGUCUCUCUCCAGUCUCUCUCCAGUCUCUCUCCAGUCUCUCUCCAGUCUCUCUCCAGUCUCUCUUCAGUCUCUCUCCAGUCUCUCUCCAGUCUCUCUCCAGCUGCUGUCUCUCUCCAGCUGCUGUCUCUCUCCAGUCUCUCUCCAGUCUCUCUCCAGUCUCUCUCCAGUCUCUCUCCAGCUGCUGUCUCUCUCCAGUCUCUCUCCAGUCUCUCUCCAGUCUCUCUCCAGUCUCUCUCCAGUCUCUCUCCAGCUGCUGUCUCUCUCCAGUCUCUCUCCAGUCUCUCUCCAGUCUCUCUCCAGUCUCUCUCCAGCUGCUGUCUCUCUCCAGUCUCUCUCCAGUCUCUCUCCAGUCUCUGUCCAGCUGCUGUCUCUCUUCAGUCUCUCUCCAGUCUCUCUCCAGUCUCUCUCCAGUCUCUCUCCAGUCUCUCUCCAGCUGCUGUCUCUCUCCAGUCUCUCUCCAGUCUCUCUCCAGUCUCUCUCCAGUCUCUCUGUCUCUCCUCUCAUUUUAAUAUCAGUCAGUAG